This is a non-coding RNA of Salvelinus namaycush (lake trout), 468 nucleotides long. NCBI's taxonomy places the organism in Eukaryota, Metazoa, Chordata, Actinopteri, Salmoniformes, Salmonidae. The record is from the annotation of a RefSeq genome assembly.
AUCUCUCCUCCACUGAGGAAACAUAUUCAUCUUCUCCAUCAAGUCUUCUUCACUAUGAUCAGAGUUCUGAUUCACCUGGCAGCUCUACCACUCUGGGUGACAGGGCAGUCGCAUAGCAGCAAAGUCCAUCAGACUCCUAUUGCAAUACUUAAAGGACCUAAAGAUAAUGUACAACUCACCUGCAACCAUACUAUUCAAAACUACGAUAUGAUACUAUGGUACCAGCAGUCAACAGGAGACACUGCUAUGAAACUCAUUGGUUAUGCAUAUGCGGAGUCAAUAACCAUGGAGAAAUCAUUUGAAAAGCAGUUCAAUGUGAAUGGAGAUGGUAGGAAAGAGGCGUAUCUUCACCUACUGAGUCUGAGAGCACCUGAAGACAGUGCAGUGUAUUACUGUGCAGCCAGCCAACACAGUGAUGUAGAGAACCUCCUCUCCUCUACAAAAACCCUGUCUGAUAGAAAACUAUGA